ACGUAGGUGGCAAGCGUUGUCCGGAUUUACUGGGUGUAAAGGGCGCGUAGGCGGGAUAUCAAGUUAGUCGUGAAAUACCGGGGCUCAACCCCGGGGCUGCGAUUAAAACUGAUAUUCUUGAGUAUCGGAGAGGAAAGCGGAAUUCCUAGUGUAGCGGUGAAAUGCGUAGAUAUUAGGAGGAACACCAGUGGCGAAGGCGGCUUUCUGGACGACAACUGACGCUGAGGCGCGAAAGUGUGGGGAGCAAACAG
RNAcentral lists this ribosomal RNA (251 nucleotides) under uncultured bacterium. RNAcentral describes it as "partial 16S ribosomal RNA". It matches the Rfam family "Bacterial small subunit ribosomal RNA", at positions 525 to 775 of the family's 1533-position model. The record is from RNAcentral.